This 1251-nucleotide long non-coding RNA is filed under the name Brachypodium distachyon (stiff brome). RNAcentral's name for it is "long non-coding RNA (BDIS_LNC001997)". Lineage: Eukaryota; Viridiplantae; Streptophyta; Magnoliopsida; Poales; Poaceae. The record is from RNAcentral.
CUAGGCGCCUAGCUUUCUAAUACUAACGCUGGCUUGUUGGCGUGGGUCUGGUCUUGCGUGUGGCUGGAGUGUUAGAAGGACGCUUGUGGGGGGAGUGCGCUCCUCAUGCGGCUUGCGGGUCCGUCCCGUGGGCGCGUGCUUGGGAGUAGCUAACCCGCAAGCGGAGUGGCUCGCCGCUGCUACUUGUCCCCAGGUUGGCACUGCGGGUCCGUCCCAGGUCCCUGGUCCGGUUCAGUCGGUAGCGUGCGAGUCCCCGGUAACACAAAGCGCAACACACGGGGACAAGAAGAUCCACCCCCGCGAGUCAGUUUCAGGAACAAGAACCAAGUAGAACCAGAAAACGAAAUUCAUAAAAGUAGCGAACGAUUACAUGGGCUAAUAAAGCAUUAAUUGUUCAACGGCACCAAGCGCAACACUUGCAGGAAAAAAAAGGAAAAACAAAAGCUUGCAGGGGACUAAGACGGCUGGUUGCCGGGGGCUUCCACUGAGCGCCCCGGCUCCGGUUCUGGCUUCCUCUGCAUCCGGUCCACCGAUUCGUCGACGAACGGGCUGACCACCCUGGUGUGGGAGGGGCCGUCCUCGCUGUCCGACCACGCAUCCAGCAGCGUCUCGAAGGGGAAGUCACGUGGUAGUGCUGUAACAUCCCAAAAAUUUCAAACUUUUACAUGUGCAUUGCAUCCAUGAGCAUCAUGCCAUAAUUUCAUAUUUGAAUUCAAAUUUGAAUCUCAAAAGGUUUAAAAGAUUUUAUUUCAAUUUAAACCCUAGGGUUUUCACCCAUUUGAGCUUUGGAUCUUCAAACCAAUAGGGUUUAUUUAUAAAAGGGGUCUAUUGCAUAAUUAAGCUAUCCCAUAUUUUUUGGAUAAUUAUUUGGAGUUGAAAAAGUAUUUUAUUUAAAUAGUUAUAUAGCCCUAAAGGCAUUUAUAGGGCAAAUGUAUUUUUACAUAUUUUAUUUUGAAGGGAAAUUACUCCCAAAAGUUGAAUGAUGAUAAAACAUGAUUUUACAAUUUUGGAAUUUAUUUGGGCCAAUUUGGAGUUCAAAAUCAAAAGUUAUCAAAGAAAUGAGAAAAAGGGAAAAAAAAAGAAAAAAAAGGGGAAACCGGACCGGUCCGACCGCUUGGGCCGAACCGGCCCAUAACCGACCGCGCCCGAACCGCCCUAGCCGACCCGAUCCGCGCGCGCGCCCGGACCGUGCCGCUGACAGGUGGGACCCACCUGUCAGGGCAAUCUUCCCCGAAGGAAAGCCCCCGCCCC